Picea glauca (white spruce) is the source of this 127-nucleotide non-coding RNA. NCBI's taxonomy places the organism in Eukaryota, Viridiplantae, Streptophyta, Pinopsida, Pinales, Pinaceae. The record is from Rfam.
UUAUGUACAUUACUACAACAUAGCACUAAAUAAACAUAUCCCAUUAGAACUUCACAGUUAAGUGAUCUUAGGAUAGAGUAGUACUAGGAUGGGUUACCACUUGAGAAGUCCUAGUGUUUUACAUGCC